GAUGAACGCUGGCGGCGUGCCUAAUACAUGCAAGUCGAGCGAACGGACGAGAAGCUUGCUUCUCUGAUGUUAGCGGCGGACGGGUGAGUAACACGUGGAUAACCUACCUAUAAGACUGGGAUAACUUCGGGAAGCCGUAGCUAAUACCGGAUAAUAUUUUGAACCGCAUGGUUCAAAAGUGAAAGACGGUCUUGCUGUCACUUAUAGAUGGAUCCGCGCUGCAUUAGCUAGUUGGUAAGGUAACGGCUUACCAAGGCAACGAUGCAUAGCCGACCUGAGAGGGUGAUCGGCCACACUGGAACUGAGACACGGUCCAGACUCCUACGGGAGGCAGCAGUAGGGAAUCUUCCGCAAUGGGCGAAAGCCUGACGGAGCAACGCCGCGUGAGUGAUGAAGGUCUUCGGAUCGUAAAACUCUGUUAUUAGGUAAGAACAUAUGUGUAAGUAACUGUGCACAUCUUGACGGUACCUAAUCAGAAAGCCACGGCUAACUACGUG
This 497-nucleotide ribosomal RNA is filed under the name uncultured bacterium. RNAcentral describes it as "partial 16S ribosomal RNA". It matches the Rfam family "Bacterial small subunit ribosomal RNA", at positions 28 to 507 of the family's 1533-position model. The record is from RNAcentral.